UACGUAGGGGGCAAGCGUUGUCCGGAUUUACUGGGCGUAAAGAGCGUGUAGGCGGCCAAACAGGUCCGUUGUGAAAACUGGAGGCUUAACCUCCAGACGUCGACGGAAACCGUGUGGCUAGAGUCCGGAAGAGGAGAGUGGAAUUCCUGGUGUAGCGGUGAAAUGCGCAGAUAUCAGGAAGAACACCUAUGGCGAAGGCAGCACUCUGGGACGGUACUGACGCUGAGACGCGAAAGCGUGGGGAGCGAACAGG
RNAcentral lists this ribosomal RNA (253 nucleotides) under uncultured bacterium. Its description in RNAcentral is "partial 16S ribosomal RNA". It matches the Rfam family "Bacterial small subunit ribosomal RNA", at positions 524 to 776 of the family's 1533-position model. The record is from RNAcentral.